Molecule: ribosomal RNA, 112 nt
Filed under: Streptococcus pneumoniae GA17484
Lineage: Bacteria; Bacillati; Bacillota; Bacilli; Lactobacillales; Streptococcaceae
Also listed under: 5 other names
Source: RNAcentral
GUGACGAUAGCCUAGGAGAUACACCUGUACCCAUACCGAACACAGAAGUUAAGCCCUAGAACGCCGGAAGUAGUUGGGGGUUGCCCCCUGUGAGAUAGGGAAGUCGCUUAGC